GGGGGAUGGCUCAGUGGUGGAGCAUGUGCUUAGCAUGCAGGAGGUCCUGGGUUCAAUCCCCAGUACUACCA
Molecule: transfer RNA, 71 nt
Filed under: Camelus dromedarius (Arabian camel)
Lineage: Eukaryota; Metazoa; Chordata; Mammalia; Artiodactyla; Camelidae
Also listed under: 1 other name
Rfam family: tRNA
About the family: Transfer RNA (tRNA) molecules are approximately 80 nucleotides in length.
Source: Rfam by way of RNAcentral